AAUCAACGCUGGCGGCGUGCCUAACACAUGCAAGUCGCACGAGAAAGGGGAGCAAUCCCUGAGUAAAGUGGCGCACGGGUGAGUAACACGUGAAUUAUCUACCUCCGAGUGGAGAAUAACUGAGAGAAAUCUUAGCUAAUACCGCAUAACACUUACGAGUCAAAGCAGCAAUGCGCUUGGAGAGGAGUUCGCGGCCGAUUAGUUAGUUGGCGGGGUAAUGGCCCACCAAGACGAUGAUCGGUAUCCGGCCUGAGAGGGCGCACGGACACACUGGAACUGAAACACGGUCCAGACUCCUACGGGAGGCAGCAGUGGGGAAUUUUGCGCAAUGGGGGAAACCCUGACGCAGCAACGCCGCGUGGAGGAUGAAGUAUCUUGGUACGUAAACUCCUUUCGAUGGGAAGAUAAUGACGGUACCAAUAGAAGAAGCCCCGGCUAACUUCGUGCCAGCCGCCGC
RNAcentral lists this ribosomal RNA (457 nucleotides) under uncultured bacterium. RNAcentral describes it as "bacterial SSU rRNA". It matches the Rfam family "Bacterial small subunit ribosomal RNA", at positions 32 to 518 of the family's 1533-position model. The record is from RNAcentral.